GUAUAGGUUUAAUGACUGCGACUAGCACAAUCGUUAAAAGACAUUCUGUAACUUUAUAGUGUAUAUGAAAACAUAGCCUUGAAGAAAGCAAGCAGAGGCAGAUUGUACCAUGCCCCCAAACCGCAUUGCUGCGAAAAGGUUUACUUCUUCAAAGACUACAAAAGGUGCACAAGAGAAGAUAAAUAGAAGGGAACGAGCACAUGCUCAGUGAAGAGCCAGCAUCAGAAACCCAACGUAUUCAAUAAUGAUCCUUCCGCAGGUUCACCUACGGAAA
This 274-nucleotide unclassified non-coding RNA is filed under the name uncultured fungus. Its description in RNAcentral is "sequence contains ITS1". Lineage: Eukaryota; Fungi. The record is from RNAcentral.